Molecule: ribosomal RNA, 906 nt
Filed under: uncultured bacterium
Lineage: Bacteria
Description: bacterial SSU rRNA
Rfam family: Bacterial small subunit ribosomal RNA
Source: RNAcentral
UCCGGAUUUAUNGGGCGUAAAGCGAGCGCAGGCGGUUAGAUAAGUCUGAAGUUAAAGGCUGUGGCUUAACCAUAGUAUGCCUUGGAAACUGUUUAACUUGAGUGCAGAAGGGGAGAGUGGAAUUCCAUGUGUAGCGGUGAAAUGCGUAGAUAUAUGGAGGAACACCGGUGGCGAAAGCGGCUCUCUGGUCUGUAACUGACGCUGAGGCUCGAAAGCGUGGGGAGCAAACAGGAUUAGAUACCCUGGUAGUNCACGCCGUAAACGAUGAGUGCUAGGUGUUAGGCCCUUUCCGGGGCUUAGUGCCGCAGCUAACGCAUUAAGCACUCCGCCUGGGGAGUACGACCGCAAGGUUGAAACUCAAAGGAAUUGACGGGGGCCCGCACAGGCGGUGGAGCAUGUGGUUUAAUUCGAAGCAACGCGAAGAACCUUACCAGGUCUUGACAUCCCUCUGACCGCUCUAGAGAUAGAGUUUUCCUUCGGGACAGAGGUGACAGGUGGUGCAUGGUUGUCGUCAGCUCGUGUCGUGAGAUGUUGGGUUAAGUCCCGCAACGAGUGCAACCCCUAUUGUUAGUUGCCAUCAUUGAGUUGGGCACCCUAGCGAGACUGCCGGUAAUAAACCGGAGGAAGGUGGGGAUGACGUCAAAUCAUCAUGCCCCUUAUGACCUGGGCUACACACGUGCUACAAUGGCUGGUACAACGAGUCGCAAGCCGGUGACGGCAAGCUAAUCUCUGAAAGCCAGUCUCAGUUCGGAUUGUAGGCUGCAACUCGCCUACAUGAAGUCGGAAUCGCUAGUAAUCGCGGAUCAGCACGCCGCGGUGAAUACGUUCCCGGGCCUUGUACACACCGCCCGUCACACCACGAGAGUUUGUAACACCCGAAGUCGGUGAGGUAACCGUAAGGANCCA